This is a long non-coding RNA of Pogonomyrmex barbatus (red harvester ant), 3297 nucleotides long. Lineage: Eukaryota; Metazoa; Arthropoda; Insecta; Hymenoptera; Formicidae. The record is from RefSeq and is a predicted model, not a curated record.
AUUUCUGUUAUAUUGUGUAGUAGAAGGACUGACUAAGAGGAGAGACAAGAAUAGAUAGAUGGAUGCUUAGUAGAUUAUAGCCCGCGGAAAGACGAAGAGGACAUGAGGCACAUCCCGACGUGGAGAACCCGACAGCACGGCUCCGGUCGAACCGGAAGAAUCGGUGGGAACGAUUUUGUGGGUGGGAGCGAGCAAAUCGAGAAGCGGGCAAAAGUAGAGAAAGAUGGAGAGGUUUCGAGACGAGACGAGGAGUUUGAAGGACGAGCGUGGAGAACGCCUGGAGAACAAAUCAUGGCGCGCUCCGCGAGAUCUAGCAGACGCGAGCUUCCGGGAAGAGUCGAUCCGUGACGGAAGAGCAAGAAGGGGAAAAGAAACAGUCGACAGGCUCUGGACUACCUUCGAGGACUUCGUUUCGUCGACCUUUCCGAGUUCGUUUUUUCGAAUUUUGUUCUCCUCUACGAAGGCAAAUCGAAUUGAUCUAGUUCCAGUCCGUGAUUUACGAUUCAAAGUUUUCAAAGUAAACCUGGACUGUUAAUAUCGGCCUGUUAAUAUCGAGAUCUAUUUCCGCUGUCAUAAUUGUAUACUGAGAUUAAUAGCCCGUUUUAUAUCGCUUCGUUACGAUUGUUCAACGCUCGCGGUCUUUAUCACCGGCCGUUGUAUCUUUUCGCUUUGUUUUAUCACGAACUUGUCUUUCAAUGCGACGUUGACUCGAUAAUAGUUUUAGAAUAAAGAAUACGCUUUGAAUAUUUAGAAAAUAUAAUUAGUCUUGCAGAUAAAGUCUCCAUAAUGUGAGCUUCUAUCGAUCGUGCGUGUGCAUCUGGAGAACGUUGCGACAUACGUUGCGUCUCUCCUCGAAGGCCACCGGUAUCGAUUAUUACCUUUCGAAGUUUCUUUGUCAGAGUUUCAGCAAGGCGUAACCGAGAUGGAAAUUCCUCGUAUGAUUUCCCGCUGGCUUGUCUACUGGCUUGGAUUCUGUAAAUGGCACUGGAAGAAUUCACGGGGGAUUUAAGCAAUAGGCCCGUGGAGCUCCCGUGUCAUACACAGCGUCCGGCCUUACGGCGCGAUAAGCCCAGGAAAUCAUUUUCUUCUGUACGCGUAUCCGUCUACGUAUGAAACAUCCACCGACGCUCGCUAUCGGUUUAUAAACAUCAAACACGUAUGUAUAGGAGAAACUCACAUGGACCGAGCAACAUCGUUCGAACGUCAUUGCCAACAUCGUCUACUCCACUACGGUUCUUACCAGCUCUGCAUGUGAGACAAGAUUUAUUUUACUCCUCGACUUUUCUCGAGAGACGUGUAAUAUAAUCUGUAUAGAAAAUAUCAUACAUCUAACUCUACUUUAUCUAACUUUUUAUAAUUUAUUUCUAAGUAAAUUACCAUCGUUACUAAUCACUUAACAGGACACAUAAUCGGACUUAAGCACACUUAGAGAAUAAUAGCAAAAUUAUUCUCCGAUAGCAAGCGAUGAAAUCAAUUCUAGUAAUUUAUUUAUUUUUUUUUUUUUUGAAGUUAAUCUUUUAAGUUUAUUUCUAAAGAUUCGACUUGGUGUGAUAAAUUUACCUAGCUGAAAUUCCAUUUCGUGCAACUGCCACGAGAGCACCGGCCGUGCCCGCCCUUAUUCUCUUUAUUUUCCGCGAGCCGCGGAGGCGCCGUGCAUACACGUGGCAAGCAACCGCAACUUGGCAACGAGCAACGACCUCCUCCUGUGCAAGAACACGCUGCAAAGCGUCGCGGAUGAGAGUCACGGCGAGGCGCAUUUGCCGAGCGAAAUGCCCGUUUCGUCGCGCCGCGACUAUGACGGCGACGUCGACGACAGGAACGAGAGACGAGGGGAGGAGAGGAGAGGAUACGGGGAGGCAGAACCAACCGGAAACGGACCUUACGAAGGCAGAAGUAGAAAAUGUCCGGGAAAAAAGGCCGCGUCAAGGUCCUCAGGCAGAUUCGCAAUGCGGCUUAAGUCGUGUCACACACCACCUGUCGCGCAGCUAAGGCAAGGUUUCCAGCCAGAGAAAUGAAUAUUUUCGAUCCUCGCUGUCGAUAAAACACCUCGUAGUUCGAUCGUGCUCACGUCCUCCCUGGAAUCUCUCUCGAUCUCAUUGUUCGUGGGCAGCAGGGCAGAAAGCGGCGCUUCCGGUUUCAGGUUGAGUUGCACGACGGUCAGACGAACGAACGGACAGGCCUGGCUGCAUCCUGACUCCCCAGUGCCUCUUCUGCGUGGUACCCGCGGAAAAUUGUCGUAGCAACGGGAAGUGGAUAAGUCAGCGCGGAACCGGAAGUCGCCGUGGGAUCGCGCCUGCGGAGGCCGCUGAAAACACCGAGCGAAGCCUUCGUGCUCCCUGGGAACCGUCGAUUAGCUACACGCGCGUGUACACUUUUCGCCUGUGUCGUGUAUGCAGGCAGUCAUCACGGCACACCCACACACACACACACACACACACACACACACACACACACACACACACACACACACACACACACACAUACACACAUACGCGGAAAUGCGACGAACGUCGGAGAUACAGUACGCAGAGGGGAAGAGGACAGGGCGGGGGCACGAAACGUUAGGCGAAUAUACAGCGUAGAUAAAUCCUGUGGCUGCUACAACUAACGCGGAAAUUUCUUUAAUCGUGAGAAAAUAAAGAUUAUCGCUAUUCAGCAGAUCCAUUGAAAGCCGUCUUGUCCUGGGUAAAAAAACUUAGAGGCGAGUGAUUAGGGGGAGGUCGAAUCAUUACGUUAUUGCUAUGUUCCACGUUACACAGACACAACCAAAGACGGUUAAUAAUGGACGGUUAAUAAUGGACUUGCCGGUAGAGUAUACCACUACAAGGUAGGUCGAUGACUCAUGCUAAUCAUUGUUACGUUAUGAAAAAUGUCGGGCUUCGUAAUUAUCGAGAGACGCAUGAUGCAUACUUGGUCUCUGGUUUUAACUACAUCUACAGUAUACGCGCAAAGAAUGAAAUGGUCAAAGGCGCCAAAUCUAACGAAGCACAUUAAUCAGUGGACGUACGCAACAUCAAUUUGGACACUAGUUGGACGAGUGUUUGGCAAAUAUAAUUGGGGGAUUAACAAUGGUACGGUAACGAGGCGAUUUCACGGUAACAUAUUAGAGCGACGUGUCUAUUCGUCUCUUUUGCUUUCCAGGUACCGAUUUUGAUCCACAUCCAGAAACCGUGGGCGACGCUGAUAUUACGCUGAUUAAUGGUUUCCUUUGGCCCGGUAUCCUUGAAAAAUAGAUAUGGCCACUUCUGCGGUGGUAGUUCGACAUUGGCGAUUUAUCUGUUUUAAGCAACUUGAUUU